Molecule: RNA transcript, 2769 nt
Organism: Nymphaea colorata (pocket water lily)
Lineage: Eukaryota; Viridiplantae; Streptophyta; Magnoliopsida; Nymphaeales; Nymphaeaceae
Exons: 19
Source: RefSeq, a predicted model, not a curated record
GUAUGGCCACGGUUGCUCACCGGCACGUCGAGAUCGUUUAGCAGCUGCCCCUCUUGCCACUUGCCGGCGCAUUUACCAGAGAAGGUUAAUGAAUGGGCACGGAUCGAUGGAGACGUAGAACGACAAAAAGAGGAGUUGCCAACAAAAUUAAAUUCCUGCAGGAUGGCGAACCACGUAGCCGUUAGGUGCUCUUCUUCCCAAGCGAUCGAGUAGAGGAGCAGCACAUGACCACAAAUCUUUUUAUGCAAAGGGGCUUUAAUUCCGAGAAAAAGGAAGAAGGGGAGGGAAUUCUGUGUGAAAGAUGCGCGCCUGGUUGCUGCUCUCGGCGUCACCUUUUCAUCCUCACGCUGCCAACCCCCUGCGAUUAUCUUCUCCUUCUUCUUGUUCUUUGCUGUGCUCAGUGCCCACAGUUCCAGCAAAUGCCAGGACGAGGAAGCCUCCUCGUCGGGGGGUCGUCCUUGCGUCGACCGCAACUCCAUCGAGAACUCAGAGAAUAAUGGAAACUAUUUCACUUGCUGGUCAAGGAGCAGGAGGCGCUGGAGGCAGUUAUUCAUAUGAUGCCUUGAAAAGGUUGGACAAGCUGUGGCUCAGUAUUUGUUCUUCAAAACCAGAAAAUUUCAAACCUAGUGAAGUUGUUAAGAGGCUUGAUGGUUCAUUCUGGUACUCCAAUGACGACAAGGAAAUAUCAGAUAAAUUUGACGUCUUAGUCUGUGGUGGUACUUUGGGGGUUUUCAUAGCUACUGCUUUGAGCCUUAGAGGUCUUAAAGUGGGAAUUGUUGAAAGAGACAUGGUGAAAGGGAGGGAGCAAGAGUGGAAUAUAUCUGAGAAAGAAUUACGGGAACUAGUUGAAGCUGGGAUUCUGUUAGAAAAUGAUAUAGAACAGGUCACUGUUGCAAAGUUUAAUCCAAACAGAUGUGGAUUUGAAGGAAAAGGUGAUAUUUGGGUUGAAGAUAUCCUUAAUCUCGGGGUUUCGCCUGCAAAACUAAUAGAAGUUGUGAAACAACGAUUUAUAAACUCUGGGGGAACCAUCUAUGAGGGCAGCAGCAUAUCUACCAUAUCUGUGUACGAUGAUUCUGUGCUUAUUAAUUUUUCAGAAGCAGAAUUCCUUUCUGCACGUCUUCUUGUUGAUGCCAUGGGGAAUUUUUCCCCAAUAGUGAAGCAGGUGCGUUCCGGAAAGAAACCAGAUGGUGUUUGUCUUGUAGUUGGAUCUUGCUCUCGUGGCUUCAAGAAUAACAAAACAAGCGAUGUUAUUUUCAGCAGCUCUUCCAUAAGAACAAUUGGCAAGUCAAAGUUGCAAUACUUUUGGGAGGCAUUUCCAGCUGGUUCUGGCCCUAGAGAUCGGACAACUUACAUGUUUACUUACCUUGAUCCAAAACCAGGAUGCCCUACUCUGGAGCAGCUACUUGAAGAUUACUGGGAUUUGAUGCCAACUUAUCAAGGAGAAGGUAUUGAGGAUAUUGAAAUAUUGAGAGUCAUUUUUGGGAUUUUUCCUACUUACCGGGACAGCAGUCCACUUCAAACACCAUUCAGUCGUAUAUUGCAGGUUGGUGAUGCUAGUGGCAUACAGUCUCCAGUCUCCUUUGGUGGUUUUGGUAGCAUUACUCGGAACCUCAACAGACUUGCAUCUGGUAUUUAUGAAGCAUUAGAUGGUGAUUUCUUGGAUGAGGCCAGUUUAUCACUGUUGAAUCCAUAUAUGCCAAAUUUGAGCUCAUCUUGGCUUUUUCAAAGAGCAAUGUCAGCACAGUCAGAUGCCAAUGUGUCGCCCGACUUCGUAAAUGAACUUCUCUAUGUCAAUUUCCAGUCGAUGAAGAAACUGGGGGAUCCAGUUCUUCGUCCAUUUCUGCAGGACGUGGUCCAGUUUUGGCCACUGGCAAAGACAUUAGGAACUAUUGUGCUUAGCCAACCACAAAUUCUUCCAUCUAUUUUCAAGCAGGUUGGGAUUCCAGUAAUUCUUGAUUGGUUAGUUCAUUUUACAUUCCUUGGUUACUAUACAUUUCUUUCAACUUCGCUGGACCCCAUUGUGAGGCCAUGGAUAGACAAACUUCCAAGCAAGCCAAGAUUUACAUGGCGAAGGCGACUAGAAGCUUGGAAGUAUGGCGCUGGUUUGGAUUACAAGCUGUAGGCAGACAAAAUGUAGAUGAUAAUAAGUACGAACUUGUCCAUCUGGUGCAGCAGGUAAAAAAAUUAUGGACAUCUACCUGUUUUCAUGCUUGGAGAUGAAGCUACAAGAGCAAAUCUGGUAGCUUGGUCUCAUCCACCCAUUCCUAACACCAUUAUAGCCAGCUACCAGUUCUCGUGCUUCGAGAUGAAGUUACAAGAGCAAACAUGGUAGGAUGGUCUCAUCCAGCCAUUUCGAACAUCAAUGGUGCAGCCUCCAGAUACAGCACCCAUGCUAAUGACGGCAACCAUCCAUGAUCAAAAGGGAUGAUGGGGAUCUCAGAUCUUGAGAAUAUGAUUUGCCAUACUAUGGAACUGCUCAUAUCUUUUCAAGGUGAACAGAGUACUUGUAAAUUCCUUAUUAGACAUUAAUGUUCCAACGUCCACCAGGUCUCUCAGGUGAAUGAUGAUUUGAAGAGUUUUCUGAAGGGGGUAGUCUGAAUAUUUGCAAGGUUCCCUGUCAUACGUGGAUGCUUAGAACUUCUGCUUCAUCAAGCCAUGAAAGCUUAAGAGUUUGUAUUCAAGUGCCACCAAAUUUAUGCAGCCUACAAAGCCAACUGUUUUUUUCAUGGACAAAAUGCAUCACCUAUCAUGCAAUAAUAUUUAUUCUCU